GAUGAACGCUGGCGGCGUGCCUAACACAUGCCAGUCGAACGAAGCACCUUACCUGAUUCUUCGGAUGAAAGUUUGGUGACUGAGUGGCGGACGGGUGAGUAACGCGUGGGUAACCUGCCCUGUACAGGGGGAUAACAGCUGGAAACGGCUGCUAAUACCGCAUAAGCGCACGAGGAGACAUCUCCUUGUGUGAAAAACUCCGGUGGUACAGGAUGGGCCCGCGUCUGAUUAGCUGGUUGGCAGGGUAACGGCCUACCAAGGCAACGAUCAGUAGCCGGUCUGAGAGGAUGAACGGACACAUUGGAACUGAGACACGGUCCAAACUCCUACGGGAGGCAGCAGUGGGGAAUAUUGCACAAUGGGGGAAACCCUGAUGCAGCAACGCCGCGUGAGUGAAGAAGUAUUUCGGUAUGUAAAGCUCUAUCAGCAGGGAAGAUAAUGACGGUACCUGACUAAGAAGCUCCGGCUAAAUACGUG
RNAcentral lists this ribosomal RNA (477 nucleotides) under uncultured bacterium. RNAcentral's name for it is "partial 16S ribosomal RNA". It matches the Rfam family "Bacterial small subunit ribosomal RNA", at positions 28 to 507 of the family's 1533-position model. The record is from RNAcentral.